This 497-nucleotide ribosomal RNA is filed under the name uncultured bacterium. RNAcentral's name for it is "partial 16S ribosomal RNA". It matches the Rfam family "Bacterial small subunit ribosomal RNA", at positions 29 to 507 of the family's 1533-position model. The record is from RNAcentral.
UAUUAACGCUGGCGGCGUGCCUAAUACAUGCAAGUCGAGCGAACGGACGAGAAGCUUGCUUCUCUGAUGUUAGCGGCGGACGGGGGAGUAACACGUUGAUAACCUACCUAUAAGACUGGGAUAACUUCGUGAAACCGGAGCUAAUACCGGAUAAUAUUUUGAACCGCAUGGUUCAAAAGUGAAAGACGGUCUUGCUGUCACUUAUAGAUGGAUCCGCGCUGCAUUAGCUAGUUGGUAAGGUAACGGCUUACCAAGGCAACGAUGCAUAGCCGACCUGAGAUGGUGAUCGGCCACACUGGAACUGAGACACGGUCCAGACUCCUACGGGAGGCAGCAGUAGGGAAUCUUCCGCAAUGGGCGAAAGCCUGACGGAGCAACGCCGCGUGAGUGAUGAAGGUCUUCGGAUCGUAAAACUCUGUUAUUAGGGAAGAACAUAUGUGUAAGUAACUGUGCACAUCUUGACGGUACCUAAUCAGAAAGCCACGGCUAACUACGUG